GGGUUGUGAGGUUAAGCGACUAAGCGUACACGGUGGAUGCCCUGGCAGUCAGAGGCGAUGAAGGACGUGCUAAUCUGCGAUAAGCGUCGGUAAGGUGAUAUGAACCGUUAUAACCGGCGAUUUCCGAAUGGGGAAACCCAGUGUGUUUCGACACACUAUCAUUAACUGAAUCCAUAGGUUAAUGAGGCGAACCGGGGGAACUGAAACAUCUAAGUACCCCGAGGAAAAGAAAUCAACCGAGAUUCCCCCAGUAGCGGCGAGCGAACGGGGAGCAGCCCAGAGCCUGAAUCAGUGUGUGUGUUAGUGGAAGCGUCUGGAAAGGCGCGCGAUACAGGGUGACAGCCCCGUACACAAAAAUGCACAUGCUGUGAGCUCGAUGAGUAGGGCGGGACACGUGGUAUCCUGUCUGAAUAUGGGGGGACCAUCCUCCAAGGCUAAAUACUCCUGACUGACCGAUAGUGAACCAGUACCGUGAGGGAAAGGCGAAAAGAACCCCGGCGAGGGGAGUGAAAAAGAACCUGAAACCGUGUACGUACAAGCAGUGGGAGCACGCUUAGGCGUGUGACUGCGUACCUUUUGUAUAAUGGGUCAGCGACUUAUAUUCUGUAGCAAGGUUAACCGAAUAGGGGAGCCGAAGGGAAACCGAGUCUUAACUGGGCGUUAAGUUGCAGGGUAUAGACCCGAAACCCGGUGAUCUAGCCAUGGGCAGGUUGAAGGUUGGGUAACACUAACUGGAGGACCGAACCGACUAAUGUUGAAAAAUUAGCGGAUGACUUGUGGCUGGGGGUGAAAGGCCAAUCAAACCGGGAGAUAGCUGGUUCUCCCCGAAAGCUAUUUAGGUAGCGCCUCGUGAAUUCAUCUCCGGGGGUAGAGCACUGUUUCGGCAAGGGGGUCAUCCCGACUUACCAACCCGAUGCAAACUGCGAAUACCGGAGAAUGUUAUCACGGGAGACACACGGCGGGUGCUAACGUCCGUCGUGAAGAGGGAAACAACCCAGACCGCCAGCUAAGGUCCCAAAGUCAUGGUUAAGUGGGAAACGAUGUGGGAAGGCCCAGACAGCCAGGAUGUUGGCUUAGAAGCAGCCAUCAUUUAAAGAAAGCGUAAUAGCUCACUGGUCGAGUCGGCCUGCGCGGAAGAUGUAACGGGGCUAAACCAUGCACCGAAGCUGCGGCAGCGACGCUUAUGCGUUGUUGGGUAGGGGAGCGUUCUGUAAGCCUGCGAAGGUGUGCUGUGAGGCAUGCUGGAGGUAUCAGAAGUGCGAAUGCUGACAUAAGUAACGAUAAAGCGGGUGAAAAGCCCGCUCGCCGGAAGACCAAGGGUUCCUGUCCAACGUUAAUCGGGGCAGGGUGAGUCGACCCCUAAGGCGAGGCCGAAAGGCGUAGUCGAUGGGAAACAGGUUAAUAUUCCUGUACUUGGUGUUACUGCGAAGGGGGGACGGAGAAGGCUAUGUUGGCCGGGCGACGGUUGUCCCGGUUUAAGCGUGUAGGCUGGUUUUCCAGGCAAAUCCGGAAAAUCAAGGCUGAGGCGUGAUGACGAGGCACUACGGUGCUGAAGCAACAAAUGCCCUGCUUCCAGGAAAAGCCUCUAAGCAUCAGGUAACAUCAAAUCGUACCCCAAACCGACACAGGUGGUCAGGUAGAGAAUACCAAGGCGCUUGAGAGAACUCGGGUGAAGGAACUAGGCAAAAUGGUGCCGUAACUUCGGGAGAAGGCACGCUGAUAUGUAGGUGAGGUCCCUCGCGGAUGGAGCUGAAAUCAGUCGAAGAUACCAGCUGGCUGCAACUGUUUAUUAAAAACACAGCACUGUGCAAACACGAAAGUGGACGUAUACGGUGUGACGCCUGCCCGGUGCCGGAAGGUUAAUUGAUGGGGUUAGCCGCAAGGCGAAGCUCUUGAUCGAAGCCCCGGUAAACGGCGGCCGUAACUAUAACGGUCCUAAGGUAGCGAAAUUCCUUGUCGGGUAAGUUCCGACCUGCACGAAUGGCGUAAUGAUGGCCAGGCUGUCUCCACCCGAGACUCAGUGAAAUUGAACUCGCUGUGAAGAUGCAGUGUACCCGCGGCAAGACGGAAAGACCCCGUGAACCUUUACUAUAGCUUGACACUGAACAUUGAGCCUUGAUGUGUAGGAUAGGUGGGAGGCUUAGAAGUGUGGACGCCAGUCUGCAUGGAGCCGACCUUGAAAUACCACCCUUUAAUGUUUGAUGUUCUAACGUUGACCCGUAAUCCGGGUUGCGGACAGUGUCUGGUGGGUAGUUUGACUGGGGCGGUCUCCUCCUAAAGAGUAACGGAGGAGCACGAAGGUUGGCUAAUCCUGGUCGGACAUCAGGAGGUUAGUGCAAUGGCAUAAGCCAGCUUGACUGCGAGCGUGACGGCGCGAGCAGGUGCGAAAGCAGGUCAUAGUGAUCCGGUGGUUCUGAAUGGAAGGGCCAUCGCUCAACGGAUAAAAGGUACUCCGGGGAUAACAGGCUGAUACCGCCCAAGAGUUCAUAUCGACGGCGGUGUUUGGCACCUCGAUGUCGGCUCAUCACAUCCUGGGGCUGAAGUAGGUCCCAAGGGUAUGGCUGUUCGCCAUUUAAAGUGGUACGCGAGCUGGGUUUAGAACGUCGUGAGACAGUUCGGUCCCUAUCUGCCGUGGGCGCUGGAGAACUGAGGGGGGCUGCUCCUAGUACGAGAGGACCGGAGUGGACGCAUCACUGGUGUUCGGGUUGUCAUGCCAAUGGCACUGCCCGGUAGCUAAAUGCGGAAGAGAUAAGUGCUGAAAGCAUCUAAGCACGAAACUUGCCCCGAGAUGAGUUCUCCCUGAC
Molecule: ribosomal RNA, 2804 nt
Filed under: Escherichia coli
Lineage: Bacteria; Pseudomonadati; Pseudomonadota; Gammaproteobacteria; Enterobacterales; Enterobacteriaceae
Description: bacterial LSU rRNA
Rfam family: Bacterial large subunit ribosomal RNA
Source: RNAcentral